UUUCCGUAGGUGAACCUGCGGAAGGAUCAUUACCGAAUUGUCAAACGGGUUGUUGCUGGUCUUCAAACGGGGCCAUGUGCACGCUCUGUUUACACAUCCACUCACACCUGUGCACCCGCCGUAGUUCUAUGGUCUGGGGGACCCUGUCUUCCUGGCGUGGUUCUACGUCUUUACACACACUCUGUAAUAAAGUCUUAUGGAAUGUAUGCCGCGUCUAACGCAAUACAAUACAACUUUCAGCAACGGAUCUCUUGGCUCUC
This 260-nucleotide unclassified non-coding RNA is filed under the name plant metagenome. RNAcentral describes it as "partial contains small subunit ribosomal RNA, internal transcribed spacer 1, and 5.8S ribosomal RNA". The record is from RNAcentral.